UCCGAUUACAGAUUCAAUCAACUGAAGAUGUUGAAACGUAUCGUGCUGCCGUGUCUAGUUGCCUGUGUCUUGUGCCGAUCCUACGGAGUAAGGCGUGGUUCCUCGUUGUUUGACGGACUCAGUAGAACUAGGUGGGGUUCAAGCUUUGACCGUUGGGGAAACGAUCCUUGGAAUAGUGAUAUGUAUGGAAACGACUAGUCCCGACGUGGAAGCGACAUUUGGAGAGACAGGUGGUCUGGUGACAGGAUAGGAAACAUAUGGGGAUACGACCGAAGAUACUGAUGCAGAGACAAUGAAUGAUGCUGAAAGAUCGAUGUGGCCAAAGAUUACAUGGAAAAUCCGUUUUAACAAUUUCAUGCAUGUCUAUUUGUAAAAGUGUAU
Molecule: long non-coding RNA, 381 nt
Organism: Mizuhopecten yessoensis (Yesso scallop)
Lineage: Eukaryota; Metazoa; Mollusca; Bivalvia; Pectinida; Pectinidae
Exons: 3
Source: RefSeq, a predicted model, not a curated record